UAGCAAUGGCAGGCAAUCGCCUGAUCUCUCGGGAUCAGGAGGAAAGUCCGGACUCCGCAUGGCAACACAGGGGGUAACGCCCCUCCACCGUAAGGUGAGGACCAGUGGAACAGAAAGAAUGUCCAGAGCUAUGAUCCUUUAGCCGGGAACGGGAGGCUUUAGGGGAGCUGCUGGAGUGAAAACAGCUAAACUCUGUGUGGAGCAAGAUCAAAUAGGAAAGUGCUUGAGUGCGGCCAGCACAAGCUUUCGGGUAGAUCGCUAAAGACAUCAGGCAACUGAGGUCGUAGAGGAAUGAUUGCCCCAAUCUCAAGAUUCUCCAGGGCUUGAGAUUGAGACAGAAUCCGGCUUACAGCCACUGCUAAUAU
RNAcentral lists this RNase P RNA (365 nucleotides) under Pseudobdellovibrionaceae bacterium. Its description in RNAcentral is "Bdellovibrionaceae bacterium RNase P RNA component class A". It matches the Rfam family "Bacterial RNase P class A". Rfam says of the family: Ribonuclease P (RNase P) is a ubiquitous endoribonuclease, found in archaea, bacteria and eukarya as well as chloroplasts and mitochondria. Its best characterised activity is the generation of mature 5'-ends of tRNAs by cleaving the 5'-leader elements of precursor-tRNAs. Lineage: Bacteria; Pseudomonadati; Bdellovibrionota; Bdellovibrionia; Bdellovibrionales; Pseudobdellovibrionaceae. RNAcentral also lists the same sequence under 1 other name. The record is from RNAcentral.